RNAcentral lists this ribosomal RNA (600 nucleotides) under uncultured bacterium. RNAcentral's name for it is "bacterial SSU rRNA". It matches the Rfam family "Bacterial small subunit ribosomal RNA", at positions 85 to 681 of the family's 1533-position model. The record is from RNAcentral.
ACCUGAUUCAGCGGCGGACGGGUGAGUAAUGCCUAGGAAUCUGCCCGAUAGUGGGGGACAACGUUUCGAAAGGAACGCUAAUACCGCAUACGUCCUACGGGAGAAAGUGGGGGAUCUUCGGACCUCACGCUAUCGGAUGAGCCUAGGUCGGAUUAGCUAGUUGGUGAGGUAAUGGCUCACCAAGGCGACGAUCCGUAACUGGUCUGAGAGGAUGAUCAGUCACACUGGAACUGAGACACGGUCCAGACUCCUACGGGAGGCAGCAGUGGGGAAUAUUGGACAAUGGGCGAAAGCCUGAUCCAGCCAUGCCGCGUGUGUGAAGAAGGUCUUCGGAUUGUAAAGCACUUUAAGUUGGGAGGAAGGGCAGUAAGCUAAUACCUUGCUGUUUUGACGUUACCAACAGAAUAAGCACCGGCUAACUUCGUGCCAGCAGCCGCGGUAAUACGAAGGGUGCAAGCGUUAAUCGGAAUUACUGGGCGUAAAGCGCGCGUAGGUGGUUCAGCAAGUUGGAUGUGAAAUCCCCGGGCUCAACCUGGGAACUGCAUCCAAGACUACUGAGCUAGAGUACGGUAGAGGGUGGUGGAAUUUCCUGUGUAGCGG